AGAGUUUGAUCAUGGCUCAGAACGAACGCUGGCGGCGCGUUUUAAGCAUGCAAGUCGAACGGUAGAGUAGUGCUUGCACUACUUGAGAGUGGCGAACGGGUGAGUAACGCGUAGAUGAUCUGCCUAGAGGUUGGGGAUAGCUCAUGGAAACAUGGGGUAAUACCGAAUAAGCUCAAGUUACCAUGGUGAUUUGAGGAAAAGAGCUUUGGCUUUGCCUUUAGAUGAGUCUGCGUCUGAUUAGCUAGUUGGUGGGGUAAGGGCCUACCAAGGCGACGAUCAGUAGCCGGCCUGAGAGGGUGAGCGGCCACAUUGGGACUGAGACACGGUCCAGACUCCUACGGGAGGCAGCAGUGGGGAAUAUUGCACAAUGGAGGAAACUCUGAUGCAGCAACGCCGCGUGGAGGAUGACGCAUUUCGGUGUGUAAACUCCUUUUAUAUGGGAAGAUAAUGACGGUACCAUAUGAAUAAGCACCGGCUAACUCCGUGCCAGCAGCCGCGGUAAUACGGAGGGUGCAAGCGUUACUCGGAAUCACUGGGCGUAAAGCGCGCGCAGGCGGUCUUUUAAGUUGGAUGUGAAAGCCUAUGGCUCAACCAUAGAACUGCAUCCAAAACUAUUAGACUAGAGUCUGGGAGGGGAAGAUGGAAUUAGUUGUGUAGGGGUAAAAUCCGUAGAGAUAACUAGGAAUACCAAAAGCGAAGGCGAUCUUCUGGAACAGUACUGACGCUGAGGCGCGAAAGCGUGGGGAGCAAACAGGAUUAGAUACCCUGGUAGUCCACGCCCUAAACGAUGAAUGUUAGUCGUCGGAGGCCUAGUGUCUUCGGUGAUGCAGCUAACGCAUUAAACAUUCCGCCUGGGGAGUACGGUCGCAAGAUUAAAACUCAAAGGAAUAGACGGGGACCCGCACAAGUGGUGGAGCAUGUGGUUUAAUUCGAAGAUACGCGAAGAACCUUACCUAGCCUUGACAUAUAUUAGAAUCCGGCAGAGAUGCUGGAGUGCCUUCGGGAGCUUUUAUACAGGUGCUGCACGGCUGUCGUCAGCUCGUGUCGUGAGAUGUUGGGUUAAGUCCCGCAACGAGCGCAACCCUCGUCACUAGUUACUAACGGUUCGGCCGAGGACUCUAGUGAGACUGCCUUCGCAAGGAGGAGGAAGGUGAGGACGACGUCAAGUCAUCAUGGCCCUUACGGCUAGGGCAACACACGUGCUACAAUGGCCAGGACAGUGAGACCGAUACCGCGAGGUGGAGCAAAUCUAUAAACCUGGUCUCAGUUCGGAUUGUAGUCUGCAACUCGACUACAUGAAGCUGGAAUCACUAGUAAUCGUAGAUCAGCUAUGCUACGGUGAAUACGUUCCCGGGUCUUGUACUCACCGCCCGUCACACCAUGGGAGUUGAUUUCACCCGAAGCGGGGAAGCUAAACUGGCUACCCUCCACGGUGGAAUUAGCGACUGGGGUGAAGUCGUAACAAGGUAAC
RNAcentral lists this ribosomal RNA (1471 nucleotides) under proteobacterium Dex80-27. Its description in RNAcentral is "bacterial SSU rRNA". It matches the Rfam family "Bacterial small subunit ribosomal RNA". Lineage: Bacteria; Pseudomonadati; Pseudomonadota. The record is from RNAcentral.